Molecule: ribosomal RNA, 255 nt
Filed under: uncultured bacterium
Lineage: Bacteria
Description: partial 16S ribosomal RNA
Rfam family: Bacterial small subunit ribosomal RNA
Source: RNAcentral
UACGUAGGGGGCAAGCGUUGUCCGGAAUCAUUGGGCGUAAAGCGCGUGUAGGCGGCCCGAUAAGUCCGCUGUGAAAGCCCAGGGCUCAACCCUGGGAUGCCGGUGGAUACUGUCGGGCUCGAGUCCGGAAGAGGCGAGUGGAAUUCCUGGUGUAGCGGUGAAAUGCGCAGAUAUCAGGAGGAACACCGGUGGCGAAGGCGGCAUCCUGGACCGGUAUUGACGCUGGAGGCGCGGAAAGCCAGGGGAGCAAACGGG